This 1142-nucleotide long non-coding RNA is filed under the name Marmota monax (woodchuck). The record is from RNAcentral. Lineage: Eukaryota; Metazoa; Chordata; Mammalia; Rodentia; Sciuridae.
GCUAAAUAAUGCACAUGGAUCAACUAACUUAUCUAGGAACUUAAUUUCAGUUGGUAAAGAGGAUAUUUCCAAACAUGUUUUGCUACAGUGGGUCAUCAAUUAGAUUGGUGGAACACUGCUGUGUUAAAUGAUCUUUUAAGGUCUCUGACAUUCUAUGGAACACUUAAAAAGCAGUAGAUUUACACAAAAACUUCUUUUUAAAAAAAAGCAGAUUAUAUUCCAAGGUCAUAGGUCUGCUUUUCCAUUGCUGAUUCAGGUAACUGGCCACCAUAUUCAUCCGCUCUCCACCUCUCUCUGACACCAGCAGCAUCACCUUAAGGUGGUGGCCUUGUGCGUGUGAGCAAACCAUCUGUUUCCCCCACCCGGAAAGGUCUGGUGAUAGUGCUGAUGUCAUCAGGUGGAUCUGCUGAUGUCUUAGAAGUUAAUAACUUCAGCAUAUCCCUAAAUUAAGUCAUGUUUCUUUCAGCAAACUUCUCCAGAGGGACCAUCUGAUCCCAUUUUCAGACUACCAAGUUGAAGUAAGAACAGCCAACCCCAAAGCACACACAAUGCCAACUGCAUUUACUUGAUAACCAGCCGGUUGUCUUGGGCAGGCAUCUCGCGGGACACUGAUGAUGAAGCACAGAUCCAUGCCCUACUUUCUGCAGACUUAUACAAGGGAAACUUUGCUUGACAAUACCCAUGAAAGCAGAGUCCUCCUUGACUCUUCUGGCUGGCUCAGCAGGGGCUAAAAAAGUGCCGGAAUGCCUGUACAGGAACUCAUAAUCACAUCACUGGGUUUUGCAUGUGCAUUUCCCAGGGCCCAUUUUGAUCAGCCUGCUCAGGAAGGGUCAGUAAAAUUAAAGCAGAGAGGUCACCCCAAGGAUGAUAUCACCUGAAAGGUAGAGAAGAAGCCAUUAAAUGUUGCCAGGCAGGAAACAUCCAGGGGCUGCCCAGCACUGAACUGUGGGCACAGAGAGGGGGCUUGGUUAAAUGGACAGGGAAGAGGAAACAGGGCAGCCGCUGAUGAAGUUAUUCUUAGGUUUUGGUGGUCAGCUUUUGGGGGGAUUUGAUAUUGCCCAUUGUCCUAGAAGUGAACAAAAAGCAUAGGAACUUCUUCUUCUUCUUUUUUUUUUUUUUUUCAUUUUCUGGGAAUAAACAUC